RNAcentral lists this unclassified non-coding RNA (3053 nucleotides) under Leishmania donovani. RNAcentral describes it as "gene:LdHU3.27.3370(CDS-product:misc_RNAion_elonga tion_regulator-like_protein)". The record is from RNAcentral. Lineage: Eukaryota; Euglenozoa; Kinetoplastea; Trypanosomatida; Trypanosomatidae.
AGCCAACUCCCGGGGUUGUGUUCUGUUUCUUUUUUUGCUUCUGCGUGUGUGGUUUAUCCUUGAAUAGGACACACGAGAAGGACGGUAGUUCGGUAAGCGCGCCGUCUCUCCGGCAGCUCUCUCUAUCUUCUCCUUUGCUCCAGUUCCGGACGAGCAGAUCUCCUCUUCUCUUUGCAGGCACUCAAACACACACACACACACACACACACACACACUCGGAUGUGUGUCUCCAUAAAGAGAGGGUAACAUCGGGAUUAUACGCAUACUUGCCGCGGAUAGCAUGGCGGAGGAGGUGAACUAUGACGAGCUGGCGGACUUGCUGGCGUCGGAUGCACCCGUUGUGAGUGAGGCCGCCGAGGCCGUGGUGGGAGAGCAGGAGAGCGACAAGCCGAGGAAGCACAAGAAGGACAAGAAGCACAAGAAGCACAAGAGAGACAAGAAGCGGCCACGUGGGGAGGAGGGCAAUGCCAGGUCCUCCGAUGACGAGCGCGUCAAGUCCAAGUACGUUCUAGACGCUGCGGAGAGCGGUGACUCCGAUAGCGAAGACGAGCUUUCUGACACAGACUUCGUCGAUGACGACGAGGAGGUCGAGGACAUCGACUACGGUGAUCGUCCUCAGCGCUACCUGUUCCACGAAGGCGAUGAAAAGAAGACCGUUGAAGAAAUGGCUCGUUACUACGAAGAGGCUGACAGAUACUAUCGCAUGCACGGUGACCACGAAGACGAACUACUGACACGCAGUGACUUGUCCUCGCGUCGCCUCGCCUCGCAGUUUCUGCCACACGAGGACGACCCGAAGGUGUUUGCUGUCAAGUGUCGCCCUCGCAUGUCACGCGUUCUAGUGACGCGCAUUGUGAACAAGUGCUACGCCUACCGUGUUGGGCGUAACUAUGAACGCAAGAAGGUGGAUCUCGGCAUUAUCUCCGUCUUCGCUCUGGAUCACGUGAAGGAGUACAUCUACGUCGAGGCAAGUCGCAAGCGCUUCGUGGAGAACGUGCUCAACGGACUCGAUGGCGUCUUUCGCUUCAACAUCGCCGUGGUGGACCCGAAGGAGCUUCUGCAGACAAUGGAGACGCGUCCGUCCACGCAGAAGGUUCGUGUUGGCGACUAUGUGCGCCUGCGCCAGCGCUUUUAUCGUGGCGACCUUGCUCAGGUAACGGCGCUGCACCCGGACGGUGUCCACAUUACGUGCAAAGUGGUUCCUCGCGAGGACUUUGUACAAAAGCCCUUCAACAAGGCGACGAAACGACUUGAGCCUCGCUUCUUCACGCCGCGGCAGGCUGUGGGGGCUCGAGAAAUGGAAAACUCAUACGUGUGGGGCGAUCUGCACUUUGAUCGGGAGGGCUAUCUCCUCAAGACUGUUUCGACGCGCAUGGUUGUAUCGGGAGCGCAGAUGGAGCAGCCCAGUACCGAGGAGCUCGCUCGGUUCUACAACGAUCAGCGCGAAAAGGUGGAGCGGGCCCUCAAGGCGGCAGAGGCGGCUGCGCAGGUGCCAAACAUCAGCAUUGGUGACUCCGUUCGUGUGACGACAGGACAGCUGCGCAACACUAUCGGAGUGGUGGAAAACGUGUUCACCAACACGAACACCGCCGUGCUCACCUGCACAAUGCCUGGCCGCGUGCAGCCCAUCAAGGUGCAGGUAGAGCUUAGCGCGUGCACGAAGCACUUCUCCGAAGGUGCGCACGUCGUAGUGGAGCGUGGUGAACACGCUGGUGAGUCCGGCACCGUAGUCAAGUCCUGGGGCAGCAUCGUGCUGUUGUUCCCGGACCGCGCCGCCGUUGGGGCGGAGCUUAAGGUCGAGGCGAACGACUGCCACCAGAGCAAGCUGGGAAGUGUCUCGGUGCACUCGAAGGGCGUGUGGCAGGUGUUUGAUCUCGUCUCCAUCACCGAGCCCAAUUGUGUUGGCUGCAUCGUGCGCCUGAACCGCAACGAUGUGGAUGUGCUGACGGAGAACAACGACGUGCGCACGUUGUCGUACGCGCAGGUGAACGCCGUAGGGCGUGAUACACGCCAGACGACAGACUGCCUCGAAAACACGCUUUCUCGAGGCGCGGAGGUGCACAUCCAGAAGCACCCCUGGACGCCCAUCGGCCUGGAGGGGCAGACAGGCCGCAUCGAGCACAUUUUCCACCGGACCAUCUUUGUGCGCUGUCACGCAUCGCCGCUCCACGCGAACAUAGUGGCGCUGAAGGCAGAGUGCGUGCUCCUUAUCGGCGGCCGCAAGACGACUCGACGCGCUGCGCCGACGCAGGAGGCGGCGACGGGAACGAGUGCAGGUCAGUACGCUGCGGCUGCCGUUCGGCUCUCCGCUGGGCAGAGCGGAGACUCGGAGCUGUGGGAUGAGAGUUCGAUGAUGGACAUCAAUGCAUCCGCGGUGGUUUAGGCGGCCCUUGCGCGAGGAAGCAGGCGCGGGGAUAGACGUUUCUUUAUCAUUGUGUGCUCAUCGCAUGGUAGCUUGUUUCUUGUGGUGGUGCCUUCUACAGCACCAGGGUCUCCGCAGCUCUGCGCAUGCCCUCACGAGUCGUCUUGUCAUGUGUGAAAGGGAACGCACUGAGAUGGCGUAAGUGCUACCGCCCCCUGUGCGUGUGUCUGCGCGCGCAGUGAAGCACACACAUGCGCACAGUUGUGUGUAGGUGGAGGUGUGUGUGGAAAGGCUUGUACACACCAGGGCGCGCAAGCACUUGGUUUCCAAGUUUGUUUUUGGGCGAAGAAGUAUGCGCAGAGUCCUCGGGAAGCAUUGACUCCCUCACCCCCUUUCCUUCUUUUUGGCUGAUACUCGUGUGCGUGUGCUUCAUUGUAGUUGUGGCUAUGCAACUCUGUUGGUGUACUUCUGUGGAACCGGGGAAGAGGCAUGGGAAGCAUCGAGCUCGUUCCUUUUCUUUUUUUCCCUUUCGACGACGUGGGCCACUUGUGUGUGUGUGUGUAUGUGCCUGAGGCUGUAGCGCAUGCGUUUGUGUAUGCUUUGCUCAGGCUUCUCCCUCUUUUUCCUGUUCUUGGGGCACAUCUUACUCCCCCCCGCGUGGGCUGUGAUUGUGUGUGUGUGUGUGCUAAGC